GCUGGUGUGGUGAAAUUGGAACACACAUGAAAUUUAAGCUUUCACGGUUAAUAACCAUGCGGGUUCAAGUCCCGCCACCAGCACCA
This 86-nucleotide transfer RNA is filed under the name Caudoviricetes sp. RNAcentral describes it as "tRNA-Leu". It matches the Rfam family "tRNA". From Rfam's summary of the family: Transfer RNA (tRNA) molecules are approximately 80 nucleotides in length. Their secondary structure includes four short double-helical elements and three loops (D, anti-codon, and T loops). Lineage: Duplodnaviria; Heunggongvirae; Uroviricota; Caudoviricetes. The record is from RNAcentral.